RNA transcript from Octopus sinensis (East Asian common octopus), 634 nucleotides. RefSeq lists it as uncharacterized. The record is from RefSeq and is a predicted model, not a curated record. NCBI's taxonomy places the organism in Eukaryota, Metazoa, Mollusca, Cephalopoda, Octopoda, Octopodidae. The transcript is spliced from 2 exons.
UAAUUCAAUAUUUUAUUAAUCCUAUAUUAAUAGGAAGUUAUUCACUUUUGCGGAAUAACACAGUGAAAUUUGCAUCACUGAUUUAUACUCACCAUUGCCAAAAAAUUUCUUAACAUUAAAAUUAGUCGAUAAUCAACUGCAUGUUGGACUUAGAGAUAAUAAUCUCGGACUUAGGGAUAAUGAGAUUUCUGAUAAUGAUCAUGCUGGAUAAUGAUCGUGCUGAAAUAAUAAUGAUCGUGAUAAUGAUAAUGAUAACGAUCAUAUUGGACUUACAGAUAAUGGUCUUGCAAGCUAAGAAUUACUGCCUCAUCGGUCUCAACUAACAGCUCUCGGCUUUCCGAUGUAUCGCAGGAUUAACCGUUUCAUUAAGAUACAAGUGCGAUUCAUUCUGAGCUUAUCAAGCAGUACAGAGUCAGUAGAUCACAAAUACUAGACAGAGAGCUUUCAACAGAGAUGGCUGACAACACAAAGGCAAUGAACAACAUUGCAAGUCUGAAAGUAGCCAGCAAGCAACUAACCACACUUUAACUGCUUCUACAACUACACCAAGGACGAAAUCUCUCACAAUGUUUUGUUGUUCAUAGUAAUGACAAUUAUUAUUUGUUGUGUAUGAAAAGAAUAAAUCGUUGUUUAU